RNAcentral lists this ribosomal RNA (434 nucleotides) under uncultured bacterium. Its description in RNAcentral is "partial 16S ribosomal RNA". It matches the Rfam family "Bacterial small subunit ribosomal RNA", at positions 29 to 507 of the family's 1533-position model. The record is from RNAcentral.
AGCGAACGCUGGCGGCAGGCUUUACACAUGCAAGUCGAACGACACCUUCGGGGCUAGUGGCGGACGGGUGAGCAAACCGUGGGAUAGUGCCUCUAGGCUCGGACUAACUCAGGGAAACACGUGCUAAUACCGACUGUGAUACUCGGGGGGAAGAGUUAGCGCCAUUAGAGCGGCCUGCGUCGGAUUAGCAAGUUGGUUGCGGGAAUGGCUUACCAUGGCUACGAUCAGUAGCUGGUCAGAGAGAAUGAGCAGGUACAUUGUGACUGAGACACGGCCGGAAAUCCUGCGGAAGGCAGCAGAGGGGAAUCUUGCGCAAUGGGGGAAAGCCUGACGCAGCCAGGCCGCGUGAAUGAUGAAGUACGGAGGAAAAAGGAAUUCUUUCACCGGGGACGAUAAUGACGGUACCCGGAGAAGAAGCCCCGGCUAACUUCGUG